GGGGGCGACCUGGCUUCGACGGGGGUGGAGAGGCUUAGAUAGCGUGCCGAGGACCCGAAACCUCGUUAAUAAUCGGGAAAAACCUCAAAAGCCAACGAUAACUCGUACGCUUUGGCCGCCUAGCAAUAGGUAGCCCGUCGAGGCCGAUGGUGCCUGCGCCGCCGGUCCCGAUGACAUCUAUAGCAGGCUAGCCCAGUGUUUGUGUUCGGGGGCACUACGGCGAAACUCUCUGAACUGGCCGUCUCGAGAUCCUGUCAGCCGGAGCUCAAGAGGGCGAGAUUAAUAGACUGACUACGCACGUAGAGAUCUUUGUUAAACUGCUUUCGGACGCGGGUUCGAUUCCCGCCGCCUCCACCA
Molecule: transfer-messenger RNA, 357 nt
Filed under: Candidatus Latescibacterota
Lineage: Bacteria; Pseudomonadati
Also listed under: 1 other name
Description: GCA-2725915 sp002725915 Standard tmRNA
Rfam family: transfer-messenger RNA
About the family: Bacterial tmRNA, also known as 10Sa RNA or SsrA, is named for its dual tRNA and mRNA-like properties. Its role is to liberate the mRNA from a stalled ribosome. To accomplish this part of the tmRNA is used as a reading frame that ends in a translation stop signal.
Source: RNAcentral